AGUUGUAUCUUGUAAUCCUUUUAGUGGAUUGAAUUCUCAAGUAGAGACUUGAGGAGUGGAUAUAGGUACAAGAUUGACAUCGAACCACUAUAAAUCUCUUAUGUUUGUUGUGCUUGCAUCUUUUUUUUUAUUCUUUAUGCUUUAUACUUGCUUACUUGUUAUUUAUGGUUGAUUUCAUUCUCUUAGCUAAUCUAUUUACUCCACUCAAC
RNAcentral lists this long non-coding RNA (209 nucleotides) under Elaeis guineensis (African oil palm). RNAcentral describes it as "long non-coding RNA (EGUI_LNC067938)". Lineage: Eukaryota; Viridiplantae; Streptophyta; Magnoliopsida; Arecales; Arecaceae. The record is from RNAcentral.